GACUAAUGGCAAGAACAAAGUCUGCAUGUGUCGGUACAAGUGCUAUUAUUUUUUUCAUGUAUUUUCAAUCCACUGUUAAUUGAAUCCAUGGAUUCAGAUGGGUUAGAGUACAAAUCACAAAAAAAGGGGGGAAAGAGAAUGUAAAUCAUGAGGGUGACCUGGCUUUCCUUACUCCUUGGUUCUGUCAGCUCCAGUUGGUAUUCUGUGUGUGUGUGUGUGUGUGUGUGUGUAAAUGGUAUCAAACCCAGGGCCUUGUGCAUGCAAGGCAAGCACUCUACCAACUGAGGUAUAUCCCCAGCCCUCCAGUUAGUAUUC
RNAcentral lists this long non-coding RNA (315 nucleotides) under Marmota monax (woodchuck). Lineage: Eukaryota; Metazoa; Chordata; Mammalia; Rodentia; Sciuridae. The record is from RNAcentral.